UACGAGGGGUGCAAGCGUUGCUCGGAAUUAUUGGGCGUAAAGGGUGGGUAGGUUGUCUCGUUUGUCUGAGGUGAAAUCCCCGAGCUUAACUUGGGAAGUGCCUUAGAAACGGCGAGACUAGAGUUCUUGAGAGGGUAGCGGAAUUCCCGGUGUAGCGGUGAAAUGCGUAGAGAUCGGGAGGAACAUCAGAGGCGAAGGCGGCUACCUGGAAAGACACUGACACUAAACCACGAAAGCGUGGGGAGCAAACAGG
RNAcentral lists this ribosomal RNA (253 nucleotides) under uncultured bacterium. RNAcentral's name for it is "partial 16S ribosomal RNA". It matches the Rfam family "Bacterial small subunit ribosomal RNA", at positions 524 to 776 of the family's 1533-position model. The record is from RNAcentral.